RNAcentral lists this ribosomal RNA (374 nucleotides) under uncultured eukaryote. Its description in RNAcentral is "partial 18S ribosomal RNA". It matches the Rfam family "Eukaryotic small subunit ribosomal RNA", at positions 592 to 976 of the family's 1831-position model. The record is from RNAcentral.
CAAGAGCGUAUGUAAAAGUUGUUGCAGUUAAAAAGCUCGUAGUUGAACCUUGGGUUUGGUUGGCCGGUCCGCUUUUUUGCGAGUACUGGAUUCAACCGAGCCUUUCCUUCUGGCUAACCAGUCGUUUCGGCGGCUGGCGAACCAGGAUCUUUACUUUGAGAAAAUUAGAGUGUUCAAAGCAGGCAUUAGCUUGAAUAUAUUAGCAUGGAAUAAUAGAAUAGGACGUUAUGGUUCUAUUUUGUUGGUUUCUAGGACCAUCGUAAUGAUUAAUAGGGACGGUCGGGGGCAUCAGUAUUCAGUUGUCAGAGGUGAAAUUCUUGGAUUUACUGAAGACUAACUACUGCGAAAGCAUUUGCCAAGGACGUUUUCAUUAA